UCAUAUUCUACUGUAGACAAUAAGGGAGGUACAAAAAGAUUUUUUUUCCAUUUUUUUUACAUUUUCUUGAAGAAUUCGGAAAAUAAAAGGACCCGUGUUUUUGUCUUUCUUGAUUCGAGCAAUAGUACCCUCUAUAGGGCACUUUAUACUUCCCAUGUAAAUGACGAUUACAACAACAAUUUGUAUGGCGGGUGUGAUCGGGUGUGAAAAUUUUUUCAACUUCAACCAGUGAUAAUUUUUCGAAUUUUGAUUUUUUCGAGAAAAGAAAAAACACGGGUCUCUUUAUUUUCCGAGUUCUUCAAGAAAAUCAACUAAAAAGUAUAUGCGGUACCUCCCUUAUUGAGUUUUUCAAAAUU
Bradysia coprophila is the source of this 356-nucleotide long non-coding RNA. NCBI's taxonomy places the organism in Eukaryota, Metazoa, Arthropoda, Insecta, Diptera, Sciaridae. The record is from RefSeq and is a predicted model, not a curated record.